CACCACCACCAUCAUCCUGACUAGUCUUUCAGGCAAUUGGUGCUGGGAGACUAUGUAAAGUCUUCCGGUGGCAUGCGUGCAAAAGAGAACCCCCGGAAGCUUACCUUCCGGGGGUUUUUUUA
This 122-nucleotide small RNA is filed under the name Morganella psychrotolerans. Its description in RNAcentral is "Histidine operon leader". It matches the Rfam family "Histidine operon leader". From Rfam's summary of the family: At least 6 amino acid operons are known to be regulated by attenuation. In each a leader sequence of 150-200 bp is found upstream of the first gene in the operon. Lineage: Bacteria; Pseudomonadati; Pseudomonadota; Gammaproteobacteria; Enterobacterales; Morganellaceae. The record is from RNAcentral.